This 265-nucleotide ribosomal RNA is filed under the name uncultured bacterium. RNAcentral's name for it is "partial 16S ribosomal RNA". It matches the Rfam family "Bacterial small subunit ribosomal RNA", at positions 335 to 592 of the family's 1533-position model. The record is from RNAcentral.
CUGCCUACGGGGGGCAGCAGUAGGGAAUCUUCCACAAUGGACGAAAGUCUGAUGGAGCAACGCCGCGUGAGUGAAGAAGGGUUUCGGCUCGUAAAGCUCUGUUGGUAGUGAAGAAAGAUAGAGGUAGUAACUGGCCUUUAUUUUACGGUAAUUACUUAGAAAGUCACGGCUAACUACGUGCCAGCAUCCGCGGUAAUACCUAGGUGGCAAGCGUUGUCCGGAUUUAAUGGGCGUAAAGCGAGUGCAGGCGGCUCUAUAAGUCUGA